RNAcentral lists this ribosomal RNA (3098 nucleotides) under Caulochytrium protostelioides. Its description in RNAcentral is "eukaryotic LSU rRNA". It matches the Rfam family "Eukaryotic large subunit ribosomal RNA". Lineage: Eukaryota; Fungi; Chytridiomycota; Caulochytriomycetes; Caulochytriales; Caulochytriaceae. The record is from RNAcentral.
UCACCACCUCAAAUCAGGCAGGAAGACCCGCUCAACUUAAGCAUAUCAAUCAGCGGAGGAAAAGAAACUAACCAGGAUUCCCCUAGUAGCGGCGAGCGAAGCGGGAGGUAGCUCACGCCUGUAAUCUCACGUCUUGUUAGGCGUGCGAGUUGUGGUGUAUGGAGCGCGGCAUCUGCCAUAAGCCAUCGCGUUGUGCGUGUGCAAGUUCUUUAUUUCAUUUUGGAAUGAGACGCCAGAGAGGGUGACAGCCCCGUGGCAUGCGUACUUCUUGGAUGGCCGUUUGUGUUGCCGUGUUCCGCGAGUCGGGUUGUUUGGGAAUGCAGCCCUAAUCUGGGUGGUAAACACCAUCGAAGGCUAAAUAUCUGCGAGAGACCGAUAGCGAACAAGUACCGUGAGGGAAAGAUGAAAAGCACUUUGAAAAGAGAGUGAAAGAGUACGUGAAAUUGUCAUUGGGGGAAGCGUUUGUGUGAUGUUGUUGGUGUGUCCAUUGGCGGAGUCUGUUCAGGCUGCGGCUUGCCGCGGCUGUACUCGGACGGCCCCUGUUUGGUCAGGGGCAGCCGCCACCGGCACGUGUCCUCGGUGCGAAGCUCCGGAGAAGGAUGGAGGCCAUGUGGCCCCGCUCCUUGUGGGUGGGGUGUUAUAGGCCUCGGUCAACACGGAGCACCGGGAGGUGCGUGUCGUCACCGGCACAAGCGACCCGUCUUGAAACACGGACCAAGGAGUCUAACCUUGCUGCGAGUCUGUCAGCAACCCAAAAGCUGGAGGCGCAGUGAAAGCAAUCGUCGGUGCGACCUACUCACGUAGCGCAGCACCCGCCGGUCUCAAGAUCUUUUGAAGGAUCAGGACUGAGCAGGAGCAGCAAGGCUAGGACCCGAUAGAUGGUGAACUAUACGUGGAGAGGGCGAAGCCAGAGGAAACUCUGGUGGAGGCUCGUAGCGAUUCUGACGUGCAAAUCGAUCGCCGCAUCGUGCGUAUAGGGGCGAAAGACUCAUCGAACCAUCUAGUAGCUGGUUCCCUCCGAAGUUUCCCUCAGGAUAGCAGAAGCUUUUAUGAGUUUUAUGAGGUCAAGCGAAUGAUUAGCGGAAUGCGCGCGUCCUCGUGGCGUGUGUGUGUUCUGGGGCUGAAACAGCCUCGACCGCUUCUCAAACUUUGAAUAUGUAAGACUGGAGUCAUGUUUGUUUUAAUGAUUCCUCUGAAUCGUAGCUUCUAGUGGGCCAUUUUUGGUAAGCAGAACUGGCGAUGCGGGAUGAACCGAACGCGCGAGUUACGGUGCCGGAAUGCCCGCUCAUUUUCGAUCCCACAAAAGGUGUUGGUUCAUCUAGACAGCAGGACGGUGGCCAUGGAAGUCGGCAUCCGCUCAGGCGUGUGUAACAACUCACCUGCCGAAUGAACUAGCCCUGAAAAUGGAUGGCGCUGCAGCGGGCUUUUUUGUGAGUGACCUAUACUCGGCCUUCAAACCUGUGUUGUUUGAAGUGUAGGAGGGCGUGGGGGCUGGUUUGGCGUUGAAGCGUGUCUGUAAGGGCGCGUGGAGCAGGCCCCUAGUGCAGAUCUUGGUGGUAGUAGCAAGUAUUCAAUUAAAACGGCGUGGCGAGCCAUCGCCUCGCUGUGCGAUCGUUGAAGACUGAAGUGGGGAAAGGUUCCAUGACAACAGUGCUUGGACAUGGGUGAGUCGAUCCUAAGCGCUUGCGUGACGUGUUUUGACAGGCCUUUUGUUAGGUCUGUGGCGCAAAAGGGGUUCCGGUUCAUAUUCCGGAACACGCACCGCAGCCGAGUGUGUCUGGUCCUGUAUCAGAUGCUCGCAUCGUGGCGACACGGAGUCCGGUCCUGGGGACGUUGGGGGUUCUGUCUGGAAGAGUUUUCUUUUCUUUUUGAGGGCGCGGGGGUAGCGUGGAAGCGACUUGCUCGGAGCGACGCACCCCUUUCCCGCAGAGUUUUCUUUUGGGAGCGAGCCAGCGCCUUCGGUGCUGGCUUGUUCUCAGCCGAGAAUCAGAUGAUGGACCCACGACCCGUGAAAACCCAGGCCCGCGAAUGAGCACAUGGCCGCGUGCGUGUCGUACUGAUCACCGCAGCAGGUCUCCAGGGUGAGCAGCCUCUAGUUGAUAGACCCAUGUAGGUAAGGGAAGUCGGCCAACUGGAUCCGUAACUUUGGGACAAGGAUUGGCUCUUUGUGGGUUGUGGCGGCGGGCGCAAGCCCUCGCCACGCGAUACCCAGACAAAGAACUGGUACGGACACGGGGAAUCUGACUGUCUAAUUAAAACAUAGCAUUGCGAUGCCCUCUACAGGUUUUGACGCAAUGUGAUUUCUGCCCAGUGCUCUGGAUGUCAAGGUGAAGAAAUUCAACGAAGCGCGGGUAAACGGCGGGAGUAACUAUGACUCUCUUAAGGUAGCCAAAUGCCUCGUCAUCUAAUUAGUGACGCGCAUGAAUGGAUGAACGAGAUUCCCACUGUCCCUAUCUACUAUCUAGCGAAACCACAGCCAAGGGAACGGGCUUGGCGGCAUCAGCGGGGAAAGAAGACCCUGUCGAGCUUGACUCUAGUUUGGCCUUGUGAAGGGGCCUGGGGGGUGUAGUCUAAGUGGGAGGCGUGUCAUUUGGGGCGCGUUCGUCUGUGAAAUACCACUACCCCUAUUGCCCCUUUACUUCCGUGUUUAUCUGGGAAUCGGUUAAUAAGCUGUAGCGCCUUCGGGCGUGGCCCACGAUGCGAACAGGGCCAGGUGGGGAGUUUGGCUGGGGCGGCACAUCUGUUAAAAGAUAACGCAGGUGUCCCAAGGGCAACUCAACGAGGACGGAAACCUCGUGUUGAGCAAAAGGGUAAACGUUGCCUUGAUUUGCCUUUUCAGUGCAAAGACAAACCAUGAAAGUGUGGCCUAUCGAUCCUUUAGUCUUUUAUGUGUGUUGAGUGUUUCAACCUAGAGGUGUCAGAAGAGUUACCGUAGGGAUUGUUCAAACAUAUUGUCCCAGGUGGGGAAGGGUGUGGGGCGGAUGCGUUGGGUGCCAGCCCAGCGCCGCCGUCUCGCCCCCUGGAGCCCCGCCUAGUCUGUGCGCGUGUGUAGACGCCGUCAACACGCCGCAGGCAACACACCUGGAUGCGGGGAUGUC